AUUGAACGCUGGCGGCAUGCCUUACACAUGCAAGUCGAACGGCAGCACGGGUGCUUGCACCUGGUGGCGAGUGGCGAACGGGUGAGUAAUACACCGGAACAUGUCCUGUAGUGGGGGAUAGCCCGGCGAAAGCCGGAUUAAUACCGCAUACGAUCUACGGAUGAAAGCGGGGGACCUUCGGGCCUCGCGCUAUAGGGUUGGCCGAUGGCUGAUUAGCUAGUUGGUGGGGUAAAGGCCUACCAAGGCGACGAUCAGUAGCUGGUCUGAGAGGACGACCAGCCACACUGGGACUGAGACACGGCCCAGACUCCUACGGGAGGCAGCAGUGGGGAAUUUUGGACAAUGGGCGAAAGCCUGAUCCAGCAAUGCCGCGUGUGUGAAGAAGGCCUUCGGGUUGUAAAGCACUUUUGUCCGGAAAGAAAUCCUUGGCUCUAAUACAGUCGGGGGAUGACGGUACCGGAAGAAUAAGCACCGGCUAACUACGUG
RNAcentral lists this ribosomal RNA (486 nucleotides) under uncultured bacterium. Its description in RNAcentral is "partial 16S ribosomal RNA". It matches the Rfam family "Bacterial small subunit ribosomal RNA", at positions 30 to 507 of the family's 1533-position model. The record is from RNAcentral.